CCCUUAGAUGUUCUGGGCCGCACGCGCGCUACACUGAUGCAUUCAACGAGCCUAUCCUUGACCGACAGGUCCGGGUAAUCUUUGAAUCUGCAUCGUGACGGGGAUAGAUUAUUGCAAUUAUUAAUCUUCAACGAGGAAUGCCUAGUAGGCGCAAGUCAUCAGCUUGCGUCGAUUACGUCCCUGCCCUUUGUACACACCGCCCGUCGCUCCUACCGAUUGGGUGUGCUGGUGAAAUGUUCGGAUCAGCCGUUUGUCGCGGUUUCCGCGGCUCGUGGCUGAGAAGUUCAUUAAACCCUCCCACCUAGAGGAAGGAGAAGUCGUAACA
RNAcentral lists this ribosomal RNA (325 nucleotides) under uncultured eukaryote. RNAcentral's name for it is "partial 18S ribosomal RNA". It matches the Rfam family "Eukaryotic small subunit ribosomal RNA", at positions 1470 to 1796 of the family's 1831-position model. The record is from RNAcentral.